This 468-nucleotide ribosomal RNA is filed under the name uncultured bacterium. Its description in RNAcentral is "partial 16S ribosomal RNA". It matches the Rfam family "Bacterial small subunit ribosomal RNA", at positions 28 to 507 of the family's 1533-position model. The record is from RNAcentral.
GACGAACGCUGGCGGCGUGCUUAACACAUGCAAGUCGAACGGAAAGGCCCUGCUUUUGUGGGGUGCUCGAGUGGCGAACGGGUGAGUAACACGUGAGUAACCUGCCCUUGACUUUGGGAUAACUUCAGGAAACUGGGGCUAAUACCGGAUAGGAGCUCCUGCUGCAUGGGGGGGGUUGGAAAGUUUCGGCGGUUGGGGAUGGACUCGCGGCUUAUCAGCUUGUUGGUGGGGUAGUGGCUUACCAAGGCUUUGACGGGUAGCCGGCCUGAGAGGGUGACCGGCCACAUUGGGACUGAGAUACGGCCCAGACUCCUACGGGAGGCAGCAGUGGGGAAUAUUGCACAAUGGGCGGAAGCCUGAUGCAGCGACGCCGCGUGCGGGAUGACGGCCUUCGGGUUGUAAACCGCUUUCGCCUGUGACGAAGCGUGAGUGACGGUAAUGGGUAAAGAAGCACCGGCUAACUACGUG